UACGGAAGGUGCAAGCGUUAAUCGGAAUUACUGGGCGUAAAGCGCGCGUAGGCGGCUUCGUAAGUCGGGUGUGAAAGCCCCGGGCUCAACCUGGGAACUGCGCUCGAUACUGCGGAGCUCGAGUACGAGAGAGGGGGGUGGAAUUCCAGGUGUAGCGGUGAAAUGCGUAGAGAUCUGGAGGAACACCGGUGGCGAAGGCGGGUUGCUGGGCUGACACUGACGCUGAUGCGCGAAAGCUAGGGGAGCGAACGGG
This 253-nucleotide ribosomal RNA is filed under the name uncultured bacterium. Its description in RNAcentral is "partial 16S ribosomal RNA". It matches the Rfam family "Bacterial small subunit ribosomal RNA", at positions 524 to 776 of the family's 1533-position model. The record is from RNAcentral.